RNAcentral lists this ribosomal RNA (292 nucleotides) under uncultured bacterium. RNAcentral's name for it is "partial 16S ribosomal RNA". The record is from RNAcentral.
GGACUACCGGGGUUUCUAAUCCUGUUUGCUACCCUAGCUUUCGCACCUCAGCGUCAGUUUCGGACCAGAGAGCCGCCUUCGCCACGGGUGUUCCUCCAGAUAUCUACGCAUUUCACCGCUACACCUGGAAUUCCGCCCUCCUCUACCGAACUCAAGUCCUACAGUAUCAGAUGCAAUUCCUGGGUUGAGCCCAGAGCUUUCACAUCUGACUUAUAGGACCGCCUACGCGCCCUUUACGCCCAGUAAUUCCGGACAACGUUUGACACCUCUGUAUUACCGCGGCUGCUGGCAC